GAUGAACGCUGGCGGCGUGCCUAAUACAUGCAAGUCGAGCGAACGGACGAGAAGCUUGCUUCUCUGAUGUUAGCGGCGGACGGGUGAGUAACACGUGGAUAACCUACCUAUAAGACUGGGAUAACUUCGGGAAACCGGAGCUAAUACCGGAUAAUAUAUUGAACCGCAUGGUUCAAAAGUGAAAGACGGUCUUGCUGUCACUUAUAGAUGGAUCCGCGCUGCAUUAGCUAGUUGGUAAGGUAACGGCUUACCAAGGCAACGAUGCAUAGCCGACCUGAGAGGGUGAUCGGCCACACUGGAACUGAGACACGGUCCAGACUCCUACGGGAGGCAGCAGUAGGGAAUCUUCCGCAAUGGGCGAAAGCCUGACGGAGCAACGCCGCGUGAGUGAUGAAGGUCUUCGGAUCGUAAAACUCUGUUAUUAGGGAAGAACAUAUGUGUAAGUAACUGUGCACAUCUUGACGGUACCUAAUCAGAAAGCCACGGCUAACUACGUG
Molecule: ribosomal RNA, 497 nt
Filed under: uncultured bacterium
Lineage: Bacteria
Description: partial 16S ribosomal RNA
Rfam family: Bacterial small subunit ribosomal RNA
Source: RNAcentral